RNAcentral lists this ribosomal RNA (484 nucleotides) under uncultured bacterium. RNAcentral describes it as "partial 16S ribosomal RNA". It matches the Rfam family "Bacterial small subunit ribosomal RNA", at positions 30 to 507 of the family's 1533-position model. The record is from RNAcentral.
AUUGAACGCUGGCGGCAGGCCCAACACAUGCAAGUCGAGCGGAUGAAGGGAGCUUGCUCCUGGAUUCAGCGGCGGACGGGUGAGUAAUGCCUAGGAAUCUGCCUGGUAGUGGGGGAUAACGUCCGGAAACGGGCGCUAAUACCGCAUACGUCCUGAGGGAGAAAGUGGGGGAUCUUCGGACCUCACGCUAUCAGAUGAGCCUAGGUCGGAUUAGCUAGUUGGCGGGGUAAAGGCCUACCAAGGCGACGAUCCGUAACUGGUCUGAGAGGAUGAUCAGUCACACUGGAACUGAGACACGGUCCAGACUCCUACGGGAGGCAGCAGUGGGGAAUAUUGGACAAUGGGCGAAAGCCUGAUCCAGCCAUGCCGCGUGUGUGAAGAAGGUCUUCGGAUUGUAAAGCACUUUAAGUUGGGAGGAAGGGCAGUAAGUUAAUACCUUGCUGUUUUGACGUUACCAACAGAAUAAGCACCGGCUAACUUCGUG